RNAcentral lists this ribosomal RNA (484 nucleotides) under uncultured bacterium. RNAcentral describes it as "partial 16S ribosomal RNA". It matches the Rfam family "Bacterial small subunit ribosomal RNA", at positions 30 to 507 of the family's 1533-position model. The record is from RNAcentral.
AUUGAACGCUGGCGGCAGGCCUAACACAUGCAAGUCGAGCGGAUGAAGGGAGCUUGCUCCUGGAUUCAGCGGCGGACGGGUGAGUAAUGCCUAGGAAUCUGCCUUGUCGUUGCGGAUAACGUCCGUACACGGGCGCUAAUACCGCAUACGUCCUGAGGGUGAAAGUGGGGGUUCUUUGGACCUCACGCUAUCUGAUGACCCUAGGUCGGAUUAGCUAGUUGGUGGGGUAAAGGCCUACCAAGGCGACGAUCCGUAACUGAUCUGAGAGGAUGAUCAGUCACACUGGAACUGAGACACGGUCCAGACUCCUACGGGAGGCAGCAGUGGGGAAUAUUGGACAAUGGGCGAAAGCCUGAUCCAGCCAUGCCGCGUGUGUGAAGAAGGUCUUCGGAUUGUAAAGCACUUUAAGUAGGGAGGAAGGGCAGUAAGUUAAUACCUGGAUGUUUUGACGUUACCAACAGAAUAAGCACCGGCUAACUUCGUG